UACAGAGGCCCCGAGCGUUGUUCGGAUUCACUGGGCGUAAAGGGUGCGUAGGUGGUGAGGUAAGUCGGAUGUGAAAUCUCCGGGCUCAACCCGGAAAUGGCAUUGGAAACUACCUUGCUGGAGGAUUUGAGGGGGGAUUGGAAUACUUGGUGUAGCAGUGAAAUGCGUAGAUAUCAAGUGGAACACCAGUGGCGAAGGCGAAUCCCUGGAAAAUACCUGACACUGAGGCACGAAAGCUAGGGGAGCAAACAGG
Molecule: ribosomal RNA, 253 nt
Filed under: uncultured bacterium
Lineage: Bacteria
Description: partial 16S ribosomal RNA
Rfam family: Bacterial small subunit ribosomal RNA
Source: RNAcentral